ACAUUCAAUAUUUUCCCGCCA
RNAcentral lists this small nuclear RNA (21 nucleotides) under Arabidopsis thaliana (thale cress). RNAcentral describes it as "snRNA_06488". Lineage: Eukaryota; Viridiplantae; Streptophyta; Magnoliopsida; Brassicales; Brassicaceae. The record is from RNAcentral.